Molecule: small nuclear RNA, 22 nt
Filed under: Arabidopsis thaliana (thale cress)
Lineage: Eukaryota; Viridiplantae; Streptophyta; Magnoliopsida; Brassicales; Brassicaceae
Description: snRNA_18724
Source: RNAcentral
AAGAUGGUUUUCAGUUUUAGAU